This 328-nucleotide transfer-messenger RNA is filed under the name Candidatus Liptonbacteria bacterium. It matches the Rfam family "transfer-messenger RNA". Rfam says of the family: Bacterial tmRNA, also known as 10Sa RNA or SsrA, is named for its dual tRNA and mRNA-like properties. Its role is to liberate the mRNA from a stalled ribosome. The record is from RNAcentral. Lineage: Bacteria; Candidatus Liptoniibacteriota.
GGGGAUGACCGGCUUCGAUAAAGAGCGGUCCUGCAUUUGCGAGCCGAUGGCGACGACGUAAUCGUCGCAAAACUAAUAACUGCCAACUCAAAAGUUGCUGCUCCGGGGAUCACAAUGCCGCAUUUUGCGUACGCGUGACCCUAGGGGAUCGGACGGCUCGGGCCUCUUGAGCUGAUACCGGUCUUAUACAAGGAGGCUGGUUCCUGCGCCCACGAUUCUAAGCGCGGAACGAGAAACAGAAUCGCGGUUUAACUCGUUUAAACUACGCUCGUAGACGGUGCAGCGAUACUCUCUUUAGACGGCGGUUCAAUUCCGCCCAUCUCCACCA